GAUGAACGCUGGCGGCGUGCUUAACACAUGCAAGUCGAACGGAAAGGCUCCUGCUUGCAGGGGUACUCGAGUGGCGAACGGGUGAGUAACACGUGGGUGAUCUGCCCUGCACUUCGGGAUAAGCCUGGGAAACUGGGUCUAAUACCGGAUAGGACGAUGGUUUGGAUGCCAUUGUGGAAAGUUUUUUCGGUGUGGGAUGAGCUCGCGGCCUAUCAGCUUGUUGGUGGGGUAAUGGCCUACCAAGGCGUCGACGGGUAGCCGGCCUGAGAGGGUGUACGGCCACAUUGGGACUGAGAUACGGCCCAGACUCCUACGGGAGGCAGCAGUGGGGAAUAUUGCACAAUGGGCGCAAGCCUGAUGCAGCGACGCCGCGUGGGGGAUGACGGCCUUCGGGUUGUAAACUCCUUUCGCUAGGGACGAAGCGCCAGUGACGGUACCUGGAGAAGAAGCACCGGCUAACUACGUG
This 466-nucleotide ribosomal RNA is filed under the name uncultured bacterium. RNAcentral describes it as "partial 16S ribosomal RNA". It matches the Rfam family "Bacterial small subunit ribosomal RNA", at positions 28 to 507 of the family's 1533-position model. The record is from RNAcentral.